RNAcentral lists this long non-coding RNA (382 nucleotides) under Phoenix dactylifera (date palm). RNAcentral describes it as "long non-coding RNA (PDAC_LNC006115)". The record is from RNAcentral. Lineage: Eukaryota; Viridiplantae; Streptophyta; Magnoliopsida; Arecales; Arecaceae.
AAAAAACCCAAGAAAGAUUAAAUAGACUGAACAUCAUGUAUGAUGAAACUCUUUUUUGAAAACUAGUCUGUAAAAUCUUUGGAGCUUUUGGGAGUGAAAUUUUACUGCCUUGGAAAAAGAGUGAAAGAAACAGCAAGAAACAGCAGAAGUUUUGCACAACUGCUAUCUUCAAGAUCAAUCUCCAUGAGGUAUUUCACUAAGUACAAAAAUAACAGUGGUGACAAAUGGGCCUUGAAUAACUUUAAACCAUCAAUUGCCAUCUGAUUGCUUUGAAGAUGAUUUAGGUUUGUGGUAGUGAAUGCAAUCCAUAAAUUACCGUGAAUGCAUUCUACUUGAACAAUGCCGAUUUUCUUUUUCCAUCUCCAUGUUUUAUGUCUAGAUU